AGUGAACGCUGGCGGUAGGCCUAACACAUGCAAGUCGAACGGCAGCACAGUAAGAGCUUGCUCUUACGGGUGGCGAGUGGCGGACGGGUGAGGAAUACAUCGGAAUCUACUUUUUUGUGGGGGAUAACGUAGGGAAACUUACGCUAAUACCGCAUACGACCUACGGGUGAAAGCAGGGGAUCUUCGGACCUUGCGCGAUUGAAUGAGCCGAUGUCGGAUUAGCUAGUUGGCGGGGUAAAGGCCCACCAAGGCGACGAUCCGUAGCUGGUCUGAGAGGAUGAUCAGCCACACUGGAACUGAGACACGGUCCAGACUCCUACGGGAGGCAGCAGUGGGGAAUAUUGGACAAUGGGCGCAAGCCUGAUCCAGCCAUACCGCGUGGGUGAAGAAGGACUUCGGGUUGUAAAGCCCUUUUGUUGGGAAAGAAAAGCAGCAGGUUAAUACCCCGCUGUUCUGACGGUACCCAAAGAAUAAGCACCGGCUAACUUCGUG
This 492-nucleotide ribosomal RNA is filed under the name uncultured bacterium. Its description in RNAcentral is "partial 16S ribosomal RNA". It matches the Rfam family "Bacterial small subunit ribosomal RNA", at positions 29 to 507 of the family's 1533-position model. The record is from RNAcentral.